AGGGUUCGAUUCUGGCUCAGGAUGAACGCUAGCUACAGGCUUAACACAUGCAAGUCGAGGGGCAUCAGAUCGAAAGCUUGCUUUGAUGCUGGCGACCGGCGCACGGGUGAGUAACGCGUAUCCAACCUUCCCUAUAGUAGAGAAUAGCCCGGCGAAAGUCGGAUUAAUGCUCUAUGUUGUAUUUAGAAGACAUCUGAAGAAUACCAAAGGUUCACCGCUAUAGGAUGGGGAUGCGUCUGAUUAGGUAGUAGGCGGGUAACGGCCCACCUAGCCGACGAUCAGUAGGGGUUCUGAGAGGAAGGUCCCCCACAUUGGAACUGAGACACGGUCCAAACUCCUACGGGAGGCAGCAGUGAGGAAUAUUGGUCAAUGGACGGAAGUCUGAACCAGCCAAGUAAGCGUGCAGGAUGACGGCCCUAUGGGUUGUAAACUGCUUUUAUAUAGGGAUAAAGUCGGGGACGUGUCCCCGUUUGUAGGUACUAUAUGAAUAAGGACCGGCUAAUUCCGUGCCAGCCGCCGC
RNAcentral lists this ribosomal RNA (520 nucleotides) under uncultured bacterium. RNAcentral describes it as "bacterial SSU rRNA". It matches the Rfam family "Bacterial small subunit ribosomal RNA", at positions 8 to 518 of the family's 1533-position model. The record is from RNAcentral.